Molecule: microRNA precursor, 247 nt
Filed under: Macleaya cordata
Lineage: Eukaryota; Viridiplantae; Streptophyta; Magnoliopsida; Ranunculales; Papaveraceae
Description: MIR159 microRNA precursor family
Rfam family: MIR159 microRNA precursor family
Source: Rfam by way of RNAcentral
UGGAUUUUGGAGGAGCUCCUUUCAGUCCAAUAGAGAGGGCAGAAGAGUGGUUAGAGCUGCCAUCUCAUGCAUUCUUGGUUACCCUUAUUAUUUUUCAAACCCCUGGUGGUGGCGGCGGCGGCGGCAAUGGCAAUGGCAAUGCUUGAAAUGAAAUAUAUAAGUUUAACCAGAUGCAUGGUGUGGGAGCAACUCCUACCACUUAAUUUGUUCACUCAUUGGACUGAAGGGAGCUCCCCAAUACCGUCUC